CUGCAUGGUUGUCGUCAGCUCGUGCCGUGAGGUGUCGGGUUAAGUCCCAUAACGAGCGCAACCCCUACCUUAGUUGCCAUCAGGUUAAGCUGGGGACUCUAAAGGAACUGCCUACGCAAGUAGUGAGGAAGGCGGGGAUGACGUCAAAUCAGCACGGCCCUUACGUCCAGGGCUACACACGUGCUACAAUGGCCGAUACAGAGGGCGGCUACCUGGUGACAGGAUGCAAAUCUCCAAAGUCGGUCUCAGUUCGGAUCGGAGUCUGCAACCCGACUCCGUGAAGUUGGAUUCGCUAGUAAUCGCGCAUCAGCCAUGGCGCGGUGAAUACGUUCCCGGGCCUU
RNAcentral lists this ribosomal RNA (341 nucleotides) under uncultured Sphingobacteriales bacterium. Its description in RNAcentral is "bacterial SSU rRNA". It matches the Rfam family "Bacterial small subunit ribosomal RNA", at positions 1041 to 1382 of the family's 1533-position model. The record is from RNAcentral. Lineage: Bacteria; Pseudomonadati; Bacteroidota; Sphingobacteriia; Sphingobacteriales.